CCUGGCACAUAGAUAGCUCUCAGUAGAUGUUUAUUUUUCCUUACUUCCUUCCUCCUUAUUUAUUUUUUAGUGCUAUGUGCAUAUUAAAUAGUAGUCAUUAAAUGGAUGCUUAUUAAAUGAGUAUUUGGAGUUCAAUUAGUAAACUGUCAAAUACUUAGAAUUAUUAAGAUUGGGAGGGAUUUAAUAAUUAUUAUUAUAAUACCUUGUGCUAGGCACUGGGAUUAGAGAAGUCCUUGUCGUAUAAUAUCUGACACGACCCUCCCCAAAUGCAUAAGGUAGGCAUUAUUUUUAUUACCCAAGAUGCAGUCUUUAUUACUCAGGGUCCACAUUUCAUUUUACAAAUUAAGAAGCUGAGGCUUAGAGGGGCCAAGUAAUUUACAUGAGGUCACAGAAUGGAAUCUUGACACCAGAACCAAACCCUUCAACUGCUAGGUUAGACUGCAGAGUCAUUGAAUAUUUUUGAUCCCCUGCAGCCCAUAAGGAAGGUAGAGCCCAGCAAUUGGAGCAUCAUUUGUUUCCUGACUGCAAAGUGAAUCAUCCUUCUUAAAGAUAGUAUAAGUAAUGUGCAGUUACGCAAAAUUGAAAGAUUUGAGACAGAGCCAUAUUGUUCUCACAGGAAAGGAUUAAGGGGUGGGGGGAUGUGGAAAAUUAGGAGCAUGGGAGGAAAAUGGAUUAAGUGACAUGUUCUAGGGCAGCCCAGAGCUGGUGGAUAACAGAAAGUUCUAAUGGGGAAUCUUACUAGGUUGUUUGCAGUUUAAGAUGAGUUAAAUCAAGUUUAGCCCAAAGCUGCCUCCUUACAUAUAUUAAGUUCAGCCUAAGGGUAUCUCUGUACACGUGAACUAUAACAAGUGGAAGUAGAAAUAGACCAUAGCCUACAUUUGUGCCAAUCAUCAAGGUUUGGCCAAUCAAAUGUAGCCAAUUGUUUGAACCGUAUUUAAAUAAGGCAAACACCGAAUUGUAACCAAUCCAGCUGUUUCUGUACCUCACUUCUUUUUUCUGUAUGUCACUUUCCUUUUCUCUCCAUAAAUCUUCUUCCCCCAUGUGGCUCUGCUGGAGUCUCUGAGCCUAUUCUGGCUCAGGAGGCUGCCCAAUUCAGGAAUCGUUCAUUGCUCAGUUAAACUAUUUUAAAUUUAAUUCAGCUGAAGUUUUUCUUUUAUCAGAUGGUGUCAGAAGUGGGAUCCGAAGUAGAGCUUCUAACAUCCCCUAGGAGCACUGAGUGACCAAGUGAGGAACUCUCUGGACUGAUUGUGUCCAUUGAUCUCUUGGAGCAGCUGGGGAUUGUGGAGGCAUUUGUUUGGGAACUGCGGCCUUGUGUGGCUCAAGCUCCAGCCGAGGAACAGAUGGUGCAGCGAGAGGGUCUUGCAGCAACUAGACCAAGAAGAAGGACACGCAGAUGCCAUUUGCUAUCAUGAGGUCUGUUUCUGCCAGCAGAAGAGUGGAGCUUCACGCCGUGACUGACAAGAUGCCUUGGCCAGCAAAGCUUUUCUCAUAUUAGAAAGAUUGGAGAGAAUUGUUUCUAUGGAAGUGGUGAACAUGGGACAGAAGUACUUCUCUCUUGAUAAGACCAGCAUGUGCAAACCAGGAAGAAAAAGUAAAAUCUCCAAUAAUAGAGAGAUAAAUCAAACAGGAAAAAAAAAAGUCUGGGUCCGAAAAACACGUGCAUUCCUGUAGCAGAGUUUAUGCGAGUUUUUUUUUCUUUUUUUCUUUUUUGUGAUGAGGUCACUAUUACUCACAUGGCUGUGUGGGAUAGACAGAGAACAUGCAUAAAUAACAAGAAAGCAAGCAUUCUAAUUUGCGCACCUUGUUUUUUUAAGAGUAUAAUCAUUGGCUGGAAUUAAUAGGAGCAGCUCUGAAUGAAUAACUUACUCAGCAUGUAAGUGAAAUAACUGAGAUUAGAAUCCUGAAUUGUUACCUUGGGCCUGGAGCAUUUACCUCCUUCUCUACCUGCUUAUCUCCAUCUCCUCCAAGGUGUGUUAACCUCAUGAUAAUCAAUCACUUCCAUGAUCAACAAUCUCGCUUCUUUUGAGAUACUCUUAGGAUUUCUGCUCUAAAAACUUAGACUACUGGGACUUGAUUUUCUUUGCUUUUUUCUCAGAAAUGUAUCUCUUUCUUGUCCAGUUGCAGCAAAAUCGAGUGUAUGCGGAGUUAAACUCCUACAAUUAAAUGUGCCAUUUCAGUUAUGGUUUCUUAUUCAGAGUUUUACUUUUUUGUGUCUAGAUUUCAUCUAUUAGUUUUAUAAUCUUCAUUGUACCCCCUUUGUGACAUAAAAAUUCUAUUAAACCAGUUUUACAAACAUUGGAAGGUUAGGAGCAAUAAACAUUGGUACAAAAGUCCCAAUUGAAAUUAAGGGUUUCUCAUAAAACACUACCUUUUAAGGAAAUAUUGCCAAGUAUAAUAUAAUUGUCUUCACUGAAUGUAUCAAUCAGAGUUCUUGAUUGCAGACAACAGAGGCCACCCUAACUGUUGAGGCAGGAAGAGUUUUAUUGAAGGAGUAUUAGGUAGCUCACAUCUAACACACAUAAACUCACAUACGAGUUGUUAUGAUAAUUCAAACUCUCACAUAUACUGUCAAAAGAGUGAAAAGGCAACCCACAGAAUGGGAAAAAAUAUUUGCAAAUCACAUAUCAGAUAAGAGAGUAAUAUACAAAAUGUAUAAAAAACUCCUAAAACUCAACAACAAUGACAAUAACAAAACAACCUGCUUUAAAAAUGGGCAAAGGACUUGAAUAAACAUUUAUCUAAAGAAAACAUACAAACGGCCAAUAAGCACAAGAAAAGAUGCUCAACCUCGCUAGCCAAUGCGGAAAUGCAAAUCAAAACUACAACGAGAUCUCACCUCAUAUCUGUUAGCAUGACUACUCAUUAGCAGCCAUCCUAAUUUUUAAAAACCCAGAAAAUAACAAGUACUAUGAAGAUGUGGGGAAAUCAAAUCCCUUGAUCUUGCUAGUGGGAAGGUAAAAUGAUGCAACUGCUGUGGAAAGCAGUUUAGCUGUUUCUCAAGAAUUACUGUAUGAUCUGACAAUUCCACUCCCAGGGAUGUGAUAUUGUUUGGCUCUGUGUUUCCACCCAAAUCUCAUGUUGAAUUGUAAUCCCCACAUGUUGGAGGAGAGGCCUGGUGGGAAGUGAUUGAAUCAUGGGGGCGGACUUCCCUCUUGCUGUUCUCAUGAUAGUCAAUGUGUUCUCUGGUUGUUUAACAGUGUGUAGUACUUCCCCCUUGGCUCUCUCUCUCUCCUGCUCUGCCAUGUGGAGAAGGUGCUUGCUUCCCCUUUGCCCUUCCACCAUGAUUGUAAGUUUCCUGAGGCCUCCCAAACCAUGCUUCCUGAACAACCUGAGAAACUGUGAGCCAAUUAAACCUCUUUGCUUCAUAAAUUA
RNAcentral lists this long non-coding RNA (3372 nucleotides) under Homo sapiens (human). RNAcentral describes it as "HSALNT0191047". Lineage: Eukaryota; Metazoa; Chordata; Mammalia; Primates; Hominidae. The record is from RNAcentral.